GGGGCAAAAAGGGGGCCCAAAAUAAGCAAUUUUUGUAGUUUUCAAACAAUAACUUGUGUUUAAGUGUAUGAAUCUCUCUGAAAUUAUACCACAAGUUUCCAUACCAUUAAGGGAUGGUUAGUAAUGACUUUGGGGGUUAUGGCUUAAAAUGUUUUGGAAUUAGGGGCAAUAAAAGGGGGGAAACUAGUUUUUUUUCUGAUCAAUGGACAGUUAAGACAAUUUAAAAGCAGUGUAAGGGAGGUAAAUCAAUAACAGUUAACAUACAAUGUUUGGUAUGUUCGGAUUUACCUCCCUUACACUUCUUGUAAAUAAUGUAUAAAGAAAUGUCAGGUUUGGAGACUUAUUGUUAUAAAAAGGGGGGUGUUAGAAGUUUUCAUUUUUUUCCCAAAUUCUCUCAAAUUUCAAUAUUUUUGAAAAGUUUGAAGAAGAAAUUAUUGAGAUUGCACAAUAUUGCAUAAUAGAUUUGUAAGAUCUUGACAUUUGUUUUGUGUCAGAAACUCAUACUAUGUCAAGAAUUUGAUCACAAUCCAAAUUCAGAGCUUUAUGAAGCUUGAAUGUUGUGUCCAUACUUGCCCCAACUGUUCAGGGUUCAACCUCUGCGGUCGUAUAAAGCUGUGCCCUGCGGAGCACCUGAUUCUUGAAAUGUUUUUUGUAUGUGUUAUAUUAUAUGUAAACAUUUAAUUUGACGCUAUCAACGCAAUUAUGUGUCUGAAUUUUUCUCUUAAUUUUGAAACUAAUAUGUACUUUCAAGUACUCACACAAAAUGAUACAUUGAUGGCUCAUUUUACAAAAUAUAUAAGAAUUUUUUUCAAUGUCCAAGAAAACUUAUACUCUUGUAUAUAUUUUCUUCAAAUUAGCACAGCACUUUUGGGGCAUUUUCCACCAGCAAAGAAAAAAUAAAAUUGGUACAAUUGGUUUUUUUAGGUUUUUUGUGAAUGAAAUUAAUUGUUUUCAAUAUUAAAGCAGUGUGACAAUGUCAUGAUAACUAUCUCUCGGCAACAUCUCUGCAAUUGCAUGGUAAUGGUUGCUGUUAACAAAUUAGAUAUACAUAAAACAUUAACAAUGCUCAAUUUUAAGUAUUAUGUGAAAACUAUACGACUUGCUUAUAUUUUUUUGUUUGUCCAUCUUUUUUUUUCACAUCCAUACAAAGUAAGUCUAUAUUAGACUUGAGGUCCAGAGUUGUUAAAAAAUGGACUAUUUACUAAUGAAUUGGUGAUUGUUUGAGUUUUUAAUACAAUAAUGGUUUCGAUAUUUAUGCAAGUACCCGUACUUGCACUCUUUAUUUAAGUAUAAAAGCACAAAUGAACACACAUUAAUUUAAAGUACAAAGACAAUAAAAAAUAAAUGUUUUUAUGCCCCACCUACGAUAGUAGAGGGGCAUUAUGUUUUCUGGUAUGUGGCUCCGUUCGUUCGUUCGUUCGUUCGUUCGUUCGUCCGUCCGUCCGUCCGUCCGUUCGUUCGUCCCACUUCAGGUUAAAGUUUUUGGUCGAGGUAGUUUUUGAUGAAGUUGAAGUCCAAUCAACUUGAAACU
RNAcentral lists this long non-coding RNA (1531 nucleotides) under Mytilus galloprovincialis (Mediterranean mussel). Lineage: Eukaryota; Metazoa; Mollusca; Bivalvia; Mytilida; Mytilidae. The record is from RNAcentral.